AAUCAGAUUAGGAUUGAGGGAAUUCACAUUAUAAAUGGUAGAAUAAUAGAAAGGUUAUUUAGCUUUGCCCAUGAGGAGAGGUUUCGCCCAUGGAGAGUGGCUUUGCCUAUUGAAAAGAGUGGUUUUUGACUCAUGGAGUGAGGCUGUUGCCUAUUGCAGAGAGGGGGUUUGCUAAUUGUUGAGGAUUUGACUUUGUCCAUUGAUGAGGGGCACUUGCCUAUUGUAGUGGAGAGAGGCUUUCGCUUAAGGUGGAGAAAGGACAUAAAUUUCAAAAGUAACGAAUUCUUAUCCAUUAAUAAGAGGGUUCUUGCCCCAUAUAGUUGAAGAUACCCUUUGUGGUAUAGCAAUUGUAAUAGCAAAUAUAUUGGAUUAUGUUUAGAGGAAACUGAGAAAAUUAACUAAUAUAUUUGCUAUAAGCAAUUAUGUAGUGUAGAUUCUCUUGGCUGUCAUUGGAUUAAUGGGUAGUAUAGUUUUGAGCUUGUAAUG
RNAcentral lists this unclassified non-coding RNA (486 nucleotides) under Hevea brasiliensis (rubber tree). Lineage: Eukaryota; Viridiplantae; Streptophyta; Magnoliopsida; Malpighiales; Euphorbiaceae. The record is from RNAcentral.